RNAcentral lists this transfer RNA (85 nucleotides) under bacterium. Its description in RNAcentral is "tRNA-Leu". It matches the Rfam family "tRNA". Rfam says of the family: Transfer RNA (tRNA) molecules are approximately 80 nucleotides in length. Their secondary structure includes four short double-helical elements and three loops (D, anti-codon, and T loops). The record is from RNAcentral.
GCGCGAGUGGCGGAAUUGGUAGACGCGCUAGACUUAGGAUCUAGUACCGCAAGGUGUGGGGGUUCAAGUCCCUUCUCGCGCACCA